Molecule: ribosomal RNA, 465 nt
Filed under: uncultured bacterium
Lineage: Bacteria
Description: bacterial SSU rRNA
Rfam family: Bacterial small subunit ribosomal RNA
Source: RNAcentral
GGGGAGGCAGCAGUGGGGAAUUUUUCGCAAUGGGCGAAAGCCUGACGAAGCAACGCCGCGUGGAGGAUGAAGGCCCUCGUGGUCGUAAACUCCUGUCUAGCGGGACGAAAGUAUUGGAGGUGAAUAAUCUCCGAUAUUGACUGUACCGCUGGAGGAAGCUCCGGCCAACUCCGUGCCAGCAGCCGCGGUAAUACGGAGGGAGCAAGCGUUACUCGGAAUUAUUGGGCGUAAAGGGCGCGUAGGCGAUCUGACAAGUCUGGUGUGAAAGCCCACAUGUUAACUGUGGAAGUGCAUUAGAAACUGUUGGAUCUGAGUUCAGGAGAGGAAGGCAGAAUUCCCGGUGUAGCGGUGAAAUGCGUAGAGAUCGGGAGGAAUACCAGUGGCGAAGGCGGCCUUCUGGACUGACACUGACGCUGAGGCGCGAAAGCCGGGGGAGCAAACGGGAUUAGAUACCCCAGUAGUCUU